UACGCCGACGAUUGAGAGCACACGACUCUUGCCUUUCCCAACAAGAUUUGGAUCUCUUCUCCUUGCCUUCUGAUCAAAAUGCACAGAGAAACCUUUCAUCUAUGUCUCCGUUACCACUACUUGGUUGCCGACCAUUGGUUCCAUCGUCAAGUUGCUCUCCAGGUCUCUCUCUCUCUCAUGGCGAUUUCAAGAUUGGAACUUGGAAGAUCUUCACCAUUCUUGGAAAAAGUUGGAAUUAUUGUUUUUUUUUCUUCUCCAAUUUGUGAAUUACAUGGGUUUUGCUCUGCCAUCAUCUCAAGGAGUCACUUGAAUAAUUGUGGUCUUUGCUGUUUUGGCUCUCUCUUCUCUGAUGAGUGAUGGACUUUGGAGAAUUUGAAUUAUUGCUAUUUGGAAGGACCCAAAGGUCAGCUCUUUUGUGCACUUGAAUUGAACGGCUUAUUACACUGUGAGGGUUAUUGGAUUGACAGUAACGUGAGAAGAGGAAAGAUGUAAUUGAAUAUGUUCAGAGACUCAUCAGAUGUUCUCUUGGAUUUGAGGUGAAUUCAAUGCCUCACUUUUAGUUUUGUGUGGUUAAAUUGUUACCUGGGAGGUUCUGUUUUGUGGGUAUAUAGUUUUUUGAUUAUUUAUAUACUUUUUUGCAAUCUUCAAUAUAUAGUUAGAGGAACCCUCUUUCAUGUUUGGAGGAGUUGAAAUUAUUGUUCAAAUGCAUGUGAGAGCAAUUCAAUUUCUGAGGUGUUCAGGCAUGGUUAUUUUCCAGUGAAGAGGCUUCACUCUACUUUUCUGUGUAUCCUGUGAACAGUUCUUUUGUUCUUUGCCUUAAAUUUUUUAAGUUGUGUUGGUAUGUUGUUGUUGUGGGAUAUAUUUGAUGACUCAUUUCCAUUCAGUAUUAGUUGAAUUUUAUAGGGGUUGACAAUUUAGGGGAAAUUUUAUUGUUUGUCUUAUGGCUUCCAAGUGAAAUCAGGAAUUCAUUAUGAAUGAUCACUUAGGAAGCAUUUUAGCUCUUAUGUUUAGAUGAUUUGAGGCAGUUAAGCUGGCAUUGGCGUGGCUAUCUAACACUUGUUACAUCUGGCAUUGUUGAGUCACCCACAUAUAGUGUAAUAAUUUAAUACAACCUGAGGGGUGGACAUCCUUUGAUCGUGUAGUGUAGCCUAUUUGGUCUUGAAUAUAUGUGAAACAUUGCAUUGAAAAGUUAGUUAAGAAAGGUUUUGUUCAACCUAUUUUAGGGCAAUUAAUAGAUUGGGGAAGUGUUUCUACCAUUUGCUACUGCCCUAUGAUCUAAUUGUGGUAUGCCUUUAUUGCAGUCAUUAUAUUUGGCACCCAUUUUUUUCAUUAGUUCUUGGUUCUUCCUUUUCUUAUUCAUUUUUGUAGGAAGAAGGAAAAAAAACCUUAGAAAGUUACUAUCACAAACCCAACAACCACUUAAUGAGAGGGGCUGUUAGUUAUGCGAUUACUAGUUUUUGGGGGCGAGUGUGUAUUUCAGGGAGUUAAAUGUAUUUGUUAGAAAUAUCAAUGGAGGUCAUUGUAAUUUACCCUAAAUAAUGUUAUGUGAAAUUUUAUCUUUGACAUACAUUAGUUUUUCUAAUCAUUCUUGGGACGGAGAAUUUUUUGAUUUUUUAAAAAAAAUUAUUUUAUGCAUGUAAGAGAGACAGGAUUUUUUUUUUUUAAUCAUUUUACAUUCUUUGUUAACUUGGUUUCCUUCAAGUUUAUUGCCAGGGGAAUUUAUGUUUGUCAAAACCCUUAGUGGGGGUCAUUGUAAUUCACUAUUUUUUAUUUUAAAAAAAAUGUAAUGGGGAGUAAUCUGUUUUUUUGUAUGAACCUACAUUGUUGUGUUGGAAAUUGUUAUAUCAAAUCAACCCAUAUGUUAUAUCAGCCUACCCCCAUCAGACCAUGAUUCGUGAUAGGCAAACCACCUUGUUUUUUGAUAGGUACUGUAUUGUAGUAGAAAAGAGUAACCAAGGGUGUGCAAUCCUUUUGCAAAAUAUGGACAAUCAACAUGGAAGAGUGCAAAUGAUGUGUAAAUGAUGAUGUAAAACGAUCUUUGAAUUGUUUCUUCACUUUGAACCUAUUUGAGGGAGCUAAUAUCUAUAAUUUAAAAUA
Camellia sinensis is the source of this 2097-nucleotide non-coding RNA. NCBI's taxonomy places the organism in Eukaryota, Viridiplantae, Streptophyta, Magnoliopsida, Ericales, Theaceae. The record is from RefSeq and is a predicted model, not a curated record.